CAGCCGCCGCGGUAAGACAGAGGAUGCAAGCGUUAUCCGGAAUGAUUGGGCGUAAAGCGUCUGUAGGUGGCUUUUCAAGUCCACCGUCAAAUCCCAGGGCUCAACCCUGGACAAGCGGUGGAAACUACCAAGCUGGAGUACGGUAGGGGCAGAUGGAAUUUCCGGUGGAGCGGUGAAAUGCGUAGAUAUAUGGAGGAACACCGGUGGCGAAAGCGGCUCUCUGGUCUGUAACUGACGCUGAGGCUCGAAAGCGUGGGGAGCAAACAGGAUUAGAUACCCGAGUAGUCCCUGUCUCUUAUAC
Molecule: ribosomal RNA, 301 nt
Filed under: uncultured bacterium
Lineage: Bacteria
Description: partial 16S ribosomal RNA
Rfam family: Bacterial small subunit ribosomal RNA
Source: RNAcentral